UAGGGAAUAUUGGACAAUGGGCGAAAGCCUGAUCCAGCCAUGCCGCGUGAGUGAAGAAGGCCUUAGGGUUGUAAAGCUCUUUUAGUGGGGAAGAUAAUGACUGUACCCACAGAAAAAGCCCCGGCUAACUUCGUGCCAGCAGCCGCGGUAAUACGAAGGGGGCUAGCGUUGUUCGGAAUCACUGGGCGUAAAGCGGGUGUAGGUGGAUGUUUAAGUGAGGGGUGAAAGCCCAAGGCUCAACCUUGGAACGGCCUCUCAUACUGAGCAUCUAGAGUCUGGAAGGGGGAAAUGGAAUUCCGAGUGUAGAGGUGAAAUUCGUAGAUAUUCGGAGGAACACCAGUGGCGAAGGCGAUUUCCUGGUACAUGACUGACACUCAGACCCGAA
Molecule: ribosomal RNA, 385 nt
Filed under: uncultured bacterium
Lineage: Bacteria
Description: bacterial SSU rRNA
Rfam family: Bacterial small subunit ribosomal RNA
Source: RNAcentral